GGAGACGUGGCUGAGUGGUUUAAAGCGCCUGUCUUGAAAACAGGUAUACCUUAACGGGUAUCAGAGGUUCGAAUCCUCUCGUCUCCG
RNAcentral lists this transfer RNA (87 nucleotides) under Candidatus Liptonbacteria bacterium. RNAcentral's name for it is "tRNA-Ser". It matches the Rfam family "tRNA". From Rfam's summary of the family: Transfer RNA (tRNA) molecules are approximately 80 nucleotides in length. Their secondary structure includes four short double-helical elements and three loops (D, anti-codon, and T loops). Lineage: Bacteria; Candidatus Liptoniibacteriota. The record is from RNAcentral.